UCUCUGAUAGCUCAGUUGGUAAAGAAUCUGCCUGCAAUGCAGGAGACCCUGGUUCAAUUCCUGGGUCAAGAA
Molecule: transfer RNA, 72 nt
Filed under: Bos taurus (domestic cattle)
Lineage: Eukaryota; Metazoa; Chordata; Mammalia; Artiodactyla; Bovidae
Also listed under: 3 other names
Rfam family: tRNA
About the family: Transfer RNA (tRNA) molecules are approximately 80 nucleotides in length.
Source: Rfam by way of RNAcentral